AUGAACCGGCAAUGGAUGUACAGUGACAGACACACCUCCGAGUAUAUUAAGGGCGUGCAUAAUUUUCUCGAAGUGGCUGAGGCAAACAAGCAGAAUGGUUUUAUGUGUUGUCCAUGCCCUAUAUGUUGGAAUAUGAAGUCUUACUCUGACUCGAAAACCAUUCACACCUACCUGCUUUAUAAGGGUUUCAUACCACACUAUAAUGUUUGGACCAAGCACGGAGAAAUAGGGGUUAUGAUGGAAUACAACGAAGAAGAAGGGGACGAUGACAACUAUGUGCCCCCUGAAUACGGUGAUGCUGCAACGGGGGAAGCUGUUGAAGAUCAAGAGGAACCGGACGAUGUGCCCGAUGAUGAUCUCCGCCGGGUCAUUGCUGAUGCAAGGAGACAGUGCAAAAGUCAAAAGAAGCUGAAGUUUGAUCGCAUGUUAGAGGAUUACGAAAAAGGUUCCCUCCGGUUUGUCCAAAGUGGGACUUUCCCGAUAUAUAAGUUCGAAAACUCGAUCACUAGAGAAGAAAGUGAUGACAGUGAAGCCGGUCACAUCCCAGAGUGGGAUCUUUGGGUGUAA
This 567-nucleotide ribosomal RNA is filed under the name Triticum aestivum (bread wheat). Its description in RNAcentral is "partial small subunit ribosomal RNA". Lineage: Eukaryota; Viridiplantae; Streptophyta; Magnoliopsida; Poales; Poaceae. The record is from RNAcentral.